UGGCGAACGGGUGAGUAAUACAUCGGAACGUGUCCUGUAGUGGGGGAUAGCCCGGCGAAAGCCGGAUUAAUACCGCAUACGACCUGAGGGAGAAAGCGGGGGAUCUUCGGACCUCGCGCUAUAGGGGCGGCCGAUGGCAGAUUAGCUAGUUGGUGGGGUAAAGGCCUACCAAGGCGACGAUCUGUAGCUGGUCUGAGAGGACGACCAGCCACACUGGGACUGAGGCACGGCCCAGACUCCUACGGGAGGCAGCAGUGGGGAAUUUUGGACAAUGGGCGCAAGCCUGAUCCAGCAAUGCCGCGUGUGUGAAGAAGGCCUUCGGGUUGUAAAGCACUUUUGUCCGGAAAGAAAACUUCGGCCCUAAAUAUGGCUGGAAGAUGACGGUACCGGAAGAAUAAGCGCCGGCUAACUACGUGCCAGCAGCCGCGGUAAUACGUAGGGUGCGAGCGUUAAUCGGAAUUACUGGGCGUAAAGCGUGCGCAGGCGGUCUGUUAAGACCGAUGUGAAAUCCCCGGGCUUAACCUGGGAACUGCAUUGGUGACUGGCAGGCUUUGAGUGUGGCAGAGGGAGGUAGAAUUCCACGUGUAGCAGUGAAAUGCGUAGAGAUGUGGAGGAAUACCGAUGGCGAAGGCAGCCUCCUGGGCCAACACUGACGCUCAUGCACGAAAGCGUGGGGAGCAAACAGGAUUAGAUACCCUGGUAGUCCACGCCCUAAACGAUGUCAACUAGUUGUUGGGGAUUCAUUUCCUUAGUAACGUAGCUAACGCGUGAAGUUGACCGCCUGGGGAGUACGGUCGCAAGAUUAAAACUCAAAGGAAUUGACGGGGACCCGCACAAGCGGUGGAUGAUGUGGAUUAAUUCGAUGCAACGCGAAAAACCUUACCUACCCUUGACAUGGUCGGAACCCUGCUGAAAGGUGGGGGGCUCGAAAGAGAACCGGCGUACAGGCGCUGCAUGGCUGUCGUCAGCUCGUGUCGUGAGAUGUUGGGUUAAGUCCCGCAACGAGCGCAACCCUUGUUCUUAGUUGCUACGCAAGAGCACUCUAAGGAGACUGCCGGUGACAAACCGGAGGAAGGUGGGGAUGACGUCAAGUCCUCAUGGCCCUUAUGGGUAGGGCUUCAC
This 1122-nucleotide ribosomal RNA is filed under the name Burkholderia sp. OL639. RNAcentral describes it as "bacterial SSU rRNA". It matches the Rfam family "Bacterial small subunit ribosomal RNA", at positions 96 to 1219 of the family's 1533-position model. The record is from RNAcentral. Lineage: Bacteria; Pseudomonadati; Pseudomonadota; Betaproteobacteria; Burkholderiales; Burkholderiaceae.